Molecule: long non-coding RNA, 1932 nt
Filed under: Olea europaea subsp. europaea
Lineage: Eukaryota; Viridiplantae; Streptophyta; Magnoliopsida; Lamiales; Oleaceae
Source: RNAcentral
CACACAUUCACACGAUUGCCUCUCAAGAAGGAAGAAGAAAAAUGCAGCGCUAGAAGGUGAUUCUAAUGGCUGUUUUGUAAGAAUUUCAAGUUCUCUUCAUAAAAAAUAACAAGAUGGAAUUCCUAUGUGCAAGUAGAAUACAUCUAUUCUCAUAGAUAUGAAUUUUUGUGGAAUAUUUCAUGCUAAAAGAUUAUUAUUAUUAUUAUUUUUUGUUGUCAUCCAGACUAGAAAGAGGUAUGAUCAAUUUUUUUAUACAAGAAAUAAAGAAUUUUGUAUAAUCUUUCAUGGUUGAACGUUAAAAAAAAAAAAAAGAAAAAAAAAGAAAAAAAAAAGGAAAAGGAAUUGUGAUCAUUGAUCCCCUAAGCUCAUUGGAAUAAGAAGUGUGGUAUGAUGUUGUACAUUACUUUUAACUUUAAUUUCGUAUUGCACAUAGAAUUAAUAGUAUUCUUAUUGAGUUUUCCCCAAAACCCACUCCUUUUCCUUUUGCCUACAGAUUAGAAGCAGCCGUGGAUUGAGGCAUGGAGUUGGCAUGAUGAAAGUUGCCUGCAGCUGUUUUGAGACAUUGCUGAAAUUUUUAAGGUUUGAAUGCUUUUAUGGAUUUUUAUUUCCCUGUUUGGUUCUAAACAUAUUUAAGGGUUUUGUGUACUUAGAAAUGGAUCUAUUCCAUGUCAUAUGUUGUGUUUAAUGACUGCAGAAUGUAACAAGAAAACUGUCCAGUGUAUUCCAGCACACAAGUUCAACUUUGAACGAUCACACUAGAAUGUGUACUUCUAAAUUUGAGUUGAAAUUAAUUGGUAUUAGACCGAAGAAUUUCCCACCUCUAAGAUAUGAAAUCAUGUUAACUGGAUGACGUGGAGUUAGUUAUGUGUGUUUUAAUGAAAGAUGACAGUGUUGGAUGGGAAACUAUUCUUGUGUAGUUCAGAAAUUUAGUUGAGGCCCUUAUUGGACGAAUUAAUUCAGGAAAAUUUAAUAUAUUUUUGGGAUAAUAUAUUAUGAGUUUGUCCAAUAAACUUAGAAGUUAUUAUGACCAUCUAGAAUGUUACAUGUUCUUAGAAGUAAAACCGAAAUUGUGUUGUUCAGAGAAAAACUGUUUUAAUGCAUAUUGUGUUGUAGGUUGAUUUUUUUUUUUUCAUGAAUUUGAACGUGAAAUUUCAAUAUAAUAUUGUUGGUGGAGAGAGUUACGAGCCUUCCAUAUAAUUUUUUUUUAAGUUUUUGUGAUAGUUUGGGAUGUCAAAUACCUGUAGAAUAAAUCUGCAGCAAGGUUGAUCAGCGAGACUGAUCUUGUACAAUUUCUUAAUAUCUUGAUGCCUCAAAUAGAGUUGAAUUUUAAAUUUGUAGUACGUCAUAUAAUAGUGAAUUUAAUGUUUAAUACAUCAAUUUUAGGUAUUUUUAAUGAUCAUACAUCAUGUUAGGAAUAUUUGACAAUAAACUAUGCUGGUUCGACUUUGUGACAUCGUGUGUUGAUCAACUUGUAGAUACUCCUAUUUGAUUGAAAUGUCUAUGAGUUUAUGAAAAUGAAUCGAGUUUAAUUUUAUUAUACAAUAAAUUAUUGAUCUUUAUGAACCCUAAGAAAGGAAAAAUAUGUGUGAGAUAUGUUAUUAUGGUAAAACAUCCAAGUAGCUUAUAUGUGAUGCAUUCAGUUCCGCAUUAUUUGUUUUACCCGCUCAAGCUAUGAUUUCAAGUGAAGUGAUAGGCCCCUACCAUAUUUCAGGGUGUUACAGUAUAUCUUACUUUUUUCUUUUUUUUUUCUUUUUUUUUUUUUUUUAAAUAGCUGUCUUGUACUGUUACAACCUACUUUCCGCAAUUUAAAAAUUAUCGAAUCAAAGGAAAAUGGGAAAUAUCUUUUGUUCUUCGAAUCAACACAUAAUAUGCAACCAUAUUCUUUUUCCUUCAAUCAACGUCAUUCCAAUAAAGAUUCAAACUUUUCGGGAA